Eupeodes corollae is the source of this 1258-nucleotide long non-coding RNA. RefSeq lists it as uncharacterized. The transcript is spliced from 3 exons. NCBI's taxonomy places the organism in Eukaryota, Metazoa, Arthropoda, Insecta, Diptera, Syrphidae. The record is from RefSeq and is a predicted model, not a curated record.
CUUUACUUGGUGGUCAUUUAAUUGCAGCGUGUGAAAGCAGUAGCACAUUCACGUAAUGUGCCACCAUCUUUGCAAUGCAAAGCACUUCUUUCAGCCAGCUACGGAUAGGCGAAAGAUCGCAAUGUAUGCAAGUCCUUCCUGAUCAUGUAAACAAUAGUUAAUUUAAUCUACAGUCAGUUUUUCAAGACAGUACCUACCACCGAGGAUUGGACAAUUGAUCUGAUUCACUAUGUUCUUUUUUGCAGAAAUGCACAUUUUAAUAUCUUCCUUUUACAUUUUUUGGCGAACUCUGUGAUGUAGUUGGUCUCUGGAAUUCAAUUGAAAUACCUUCCUUCAUUCAUGAUUUAUUGCUUUCAAUGCGUCAAUAUCUUUAUUUCAAUUCUGCCUCUUGUUACCAACGAAGAAGGAGACAAGUUCGGAAAAUCUGCUGGCGAUGGUAUUUGGCUGGACGAAGAAAAACGUCGCCUUUUUCUAUUUAUCAGUUCUUUUUGAAAAUGCCAGAUUCUGAAGUCGUUAAGAUUUUUCCAGAGCCUGGACUAUCCAAUCUUGAUCUGGCACUAAAAGCUUAAUGAUUUACAACAGAGACUGAUACGAUGAGAAUCAUCACAGCUGGAGGGUUCUAUAUCAAGCAAUAGCGAACUUAAAACUUCGCACUAACAUCACACUAACUCAUCAGCACUAACAUCACAUACCAUUUCUAUCUAUUAGUUCAAAAUGUUAAAUGUCUCCUUUUUGUUGGCAAUGAUGAGCAUAUGGAUAAAAACAAUUUGUUUAGCUUAUAUCCAUAUUCAAUUUUACAUUAAUUGAAAAUCAUUAAUAAUAAUAUUGUAUUCUUUUUUUUAUAAAAAAAAAAUAAUUUGAAUCAUUAAACAUGUAGACUUCCUGGUUUGUUAAUCAUGUUUAUAUAUUUUUUUAAAUACAAUGAAAUUAAUUCAAAUAUGUUUUUAAAUUCCAUUCGGUACUCAAAUUUAUAAUUAGUGACAUAAUAUACAUACAUUUAAGGCUUUUUAAGGCUCACUAAAUUCAUGAAGUAGUUUUUUUUUCCAAAAAAAAAUGUGAUGAUUUCCAAAUCUACAAUAUUUUUUUAAUAUUUCGCUUAAAUUUGUUUCGUACUUUUCAUCUUGUAGUACAUUGAAUAAAUAAAAAAAUAAUGUUGAGAAAUGGUGUUCUUCAGUUUGAGCACAUGUAGCUAAAAUCGAAGUUUAGAUUCGUAAUCAGCAUCAAAAAUUAUUUCAAACGAACUAUUUAAAAUUUGUAC